RNAcentral lists this transfer RNA (87 nucleotides) under Psammosilene tunicoides. RNAcentral's name for it is "tRNA-Ser". It matches the Rfam family "tRNA". From Rfam's summary of the family: Transfer RNA (tRNA) molecules are approximately 80 nucleotides in length. Lineage: Eukaryota; Viridiplantae; Streptophyta; Magnoliopsida; Caryophyllales; Caryophyllaceae. The record is from RNAcentral.
GGAGAGAUGGCUGAGUGGACGAAAGCGUCGGAUUGCUAAUCCGUUGUACGAGUUUUCGUACCGAGGGUUCGAAUCCCUCUCUUUCCG